UGGUCGUUGACAGUGCAGCGCCGGGAGUAGUACAUCCUGCUGGUGCCACCGCCGCCGCCGCCGCCCCCGCCGCCGCCUCCGCUGUAGGUCAUCUCGUAGCGCAGGUCGGGGCCGGACUCCGCGCGGGUCAUGCGACCCAGCGUGUUGAUCCGCGGGUGGGAGCCGCCGUUGCAGCUCAUGUCUGCGGUCACUCAAGAGAGCCGCUCAGCGCCGCGGCAUACGCGAGGCGUCGCCUCGGAGCACGCGAGGGACUCCCGGAGAGGAGCGCGGGACGCGGAGGACUGGCCGGGGAGCAGCGCUCCAGCAGGGCGGAGACGGGGACGGCGACUGGCGUCUGAGCGCGGGAACCGGAGCGGAGCUGUGGCUCGGAGGGCAGCGAGGGCUCAGAGGAGCUGCGUCGCGCCUGGGUGUUGGUGUUGGUCGAGGCGGCGCUAGUCUCCUCCCCGCUGGCACCAGGCGCGCAGGCCACACCUGGCCCGCUUCUUCCCAGGGCGAGGUGCGGCCG
RNAcentral lists this long non-coding RNA (505 nucleotides) under Rattus norvegicus (Norway rat). RNAcentral's name for it is "long non-coding RNA NONRATT012398". The record is from RNAcentral. Lineage: Eukaryota; Metazoa; Chordata; Mammalia; Rodentia; Muridae.